This 376-nucleotide ribosomal RNA is filed under the name uncultured bacterium. Its description in RNAcentral is "partial 16S ribosomal RNA". It matches the Rfam family "Bacterial small subunit ribosomal RNA", at positions 43 to 392 of the family's 1533-position model. The record is from RNAcentral.
GGCCGCGGGAAUUCGAUUCAGGCCUAACACAUGCAAGUCGAGCGAUGAAACCCUUCGGGGUGGAUUAGCGGCGGACGGGUGAGUAACACGUGGGUAACCUGCCUCAAAGAGGGGAAUAGCCUCCCGAAAGGGAGAUUAAUACCGCAUAAUAUGUUUUGGUCGCAUGAUUGAAACAUCAAAGGAGUUUCUUCGGAAAUUCCACUUUGAGAUGGACCCGCGGCGCAUUAGCUAGUUGGUGAGGUAACGGCCCACCAAGGCAACGAUGCGUAGCCGACCUGAGAGGGUGAUCGGCCACAUUGGAACUGAGACACGGUCCAGACUCCUACGGGAGGCAGCAGUGGGGAAUAUUGAAAAGGGGGGGAAACCCUGACGCAGC